This 426-nucleotide ribosomal RNA is filed under the name uncultured bacterium. RNAcentral describes it as "bacterial SSU rRNA". It matches the Rfam family "Bacterial small subunit ribosomal RNA", at positions 356 to 774 of the family's 1533-position model. The record is from RNAcentral.
GGGGAAUUUUGGACAGUGGGCGCAAGCCUGAUCCAGCAAUGCCGCGUGCAGGAUGAAGGCCUUCGGGUUGUAAACUGCUUUUGUACGGAACGAAAAAGCUCUCUCUAAUACAGGGGGUGAAUGACGGUACCGUAAGAAUAAGCACCGGCUAACUACGUGCCAGCAGCCGCGGUAAUACGUAGGGUGCAAGCGUUAAUCGGAAUUACUGGGCGUAAAGCGUGCGCAGGCGGUUUUGUAAGACAGAGGUGGAAUCCCCGGGCUCAACCUGGGAACUGCCUUUGUGACUGCAAAGCUGGAGUGCGGCAGAGGGGGAUGGAAUUCCGCGUGUAGCAGUGAAAUGCGUAGAUAUGCGGAGGAACACCGAUGGCGAAGGCAAUCCCCUGGGCCUGCACUGACGCUCAUGCACGAAAGCGUGGGGAGCAAACA